This 581-nucleotide ribosomal RNA is filed under the name uncultured Pleosporales. RNAcentral describes it as "eukaryotic LSU rRNA". The stretch from base 210 to 363 matches the Rfam family "5.8S ribosomal RNA". The record is from RNAcentral. Lineage: Eukaryota; Fungi; Ascomycota; Dothideomycetes; Pleosporales.
UCCGUAGGUGAACCUGCGGAAGGAUCAUUAAAAAAGUACGCCUAGCAAAGUAGUAAUACCUAGCUAGGUUGUAUCUAACAACCUGUUUACCUAUACCUGUUUCCUUCCCUGAUUUAGGGUGCUCUGUCUGCUUGCAGGCUGGAGUUACCUUUCAGGGGUAACUAAAAAAUUGUCUUGUUGUAUUGUCUGAAUAAAAAAAUAAUAGUUAAAACUAUCAACAACGGAUCUCUAGGUUCUCGCAUCGAUGAAGAACGCAGCGAAAUGCGAUAAGUAGUGUGAAUUGCAGAUUUCAGUGAAUCAUCGAAUCUUUGAACGCACAUUGCGCCCUCUGGUAUUCCGGAGGGCAUGCCUGUCUGAGCGUCAAUAAAUCCUCAAACUUUUGUUUGGUAUUGGAAGAAGUGGCUUUUGCUUCUCUUCUUAAAGCUAUUGGCGACGCUAUUUCAGCUUGUAAGACGUAGUAAGAAAUUCCUCGUUGAAACAAGUAGUGUAGUUGUCUGCCAACUGAACCGAUUUAUUUACACGUUUGACCUCAGAUCAGGUAGGGAUACCCCCUGAACUUAAGCAUAUCAAUAAGCGGAGGA